Molecule: long non-coding RNA, 1008 nt
Organism: Haemorhous mexicanus (house finch)
Lineage: Eukaryota; Metazoa; Chordata; Aves; Passeriformes; Fringillidae
Exons: 2
Source: RefSeq, a predicted model, not a curated record
GAGGGGCUGCGGGCGGUGCGGGGUGGCUGAGGGGAGCCUGGGGGUGCUCCUGGGCCGGGCUCGGUGCUCGUAGGGCCGGGGCUGCAGCCCCGGGCCGGGGCCUUGCAGGGAAGGAGUCCCGGCGGGCGGGGGCAGCCCUGGGCACGUGUCCCCCCCGAGGGGCCGGGGCAGCUCCCACUCCUCUCUCCUGGGCACGAUUUGCUGUUCCGCCUCCUCGGGAACGGCGAUUUCUGGCUCGGGCUGCGCAGACGGGGCGAGCGCCUGCAGUGGGAGGACGGCAGCAGCUACAGCUCCCGGGUUCCCGUCCUCGGCAAUUCCCAGUGUGCGUACCUGGCUGACGGGAAAAGAUUCAGGAGUGAGUUCUGCUCCAAUGAGCGGCCGUAUGUCUGCAGCAAGGCCCAAGGUCCCCUGUAACAGGGGCUGCAGAAAGGACCUUCUCCACGCUGGGCAGUGCCAGCUUCACCUCUGAGCCCAGCACAGGGCUGCCCUUCCUCAGCUGCACCCUGUGCCUUGCACUUCCUCUCAGGGUCACCUCAGUGCCUCUUCAUCCCCAGUGCCAGCGCUGGGCUGGGGGUGCAAAGGAAAAGUCACUCCAAUCCAUCCUGCCACUGAUGCUGUCUGGAGUGAGUGCAUUGUACUCCUUAUGUUUGAGAAAUACAGCUCAUUAUUUUAAAAUUUAAAGUUUUUGAAGGGAUAAAAUUCUGGGCUGUGAUGCUUGGCUGUUUGCACAUAUUAUUGGCUCAACUAUGUUCUUCAUAUACUGUUUCAUUAUAGGGCUACAUGCAUACUGUUAGAGUUUAUACAUAUUCAAACAUACGUUUUCAAACAUUCAAAGAGUUUAUACCUAUUCAAAGAUUCCUUUAAUAUGUUCUUUUUUUUGGUUUUAACCUUUGACUUGUCUUCAUGCCUUCUCAAUUAAACUAAUGCAUUUUAGUUUUCCUUGUGGUUCUGUCUUCUUGUAUUUUCAUUCCCUGAUAAUGAGGGUUAAUAAAUUAUUUUUUCUCGGUU